GACGAACGCUGGCGGCGUGCUUAAUACAUGCAAGUCGAACGGAAAGGCCCUGCGUUUGUGGGGUGCUCGAGUGGCGAACGGGUGAGUAACACGUGAGUAACCUGCCCUUGACUUGGGGAUAACUUCAGGAAACGGGGGCUAAUACCGGAUAGGAGCUCCUGCAGCAUGGUGGGGGUGGGAAAGUUUCGGCGGUUGGGGAUGGACUCGCGGCUUAUCAGCCUGUUGGUGGGGUAGUGGCUUACCAAGGCUGUGAAGGGUAGCCGGCCUGAGAGGGUGACCUGCCACAUUGGGACUGAGAUACGGCCCAGACUCCUACGGGAGGCAGCAGUGGGGAAUAUUGCACAAUGGGCGGAAGCCUGAUGCAGCAACGCCGCGUGCGGGAUGACGGCCUUCGGGUUGUAAACCGCUUUCGCCUGUGACGAAGCGUGAGUGACGGUAAUGGGUAAAGAAGCACCGGCUAACUACGUG
Molecule: ribosomal RNA, 468 nt
Filed under: uncultured bacterium
Lineage: Bacteria
Description: partial 16S ribosomal RNA
Rfam family: Bacterial small subunit ribosomal RNA
Source: RNAcentral